GAAGGUGGCCUGUGAGGGUUGCUGGAGGUAUCAGAAGUGCGAAUGCUGACAUAAGUAACGAUAAAGCGGGUGAAAAGCCCGCUCGCCGGAAGACCAAGGGUUCCUGUCCAACGUUAAUCGGGGCAGGGUGAGUCGACCCCUAAGGCGAGGCCGAAAGGCGUAGUCGAUGGGAAACGGGUUAAUAUUCCCGUACUUGGUGUUACUGCGAAGGGGGGACGGAGAAGGCUAUGUUGGCCGGGCGACGGUUGUCCCGGUUUAAGCGUGUAGGUGUGUGUUCCAGGUAAAUCCGGUUCACUUUAACACUGAGGCGUGAUGACGAGGCACUACGGUGCUGAAGCAACAAAUGCCCUGCUUCCAGGAAAAGCCUCUAAGCAUCAGGUAACAUCAAAUCGUACCCCAAACCGACACAGGUGGUCAGGUAGAGAAUACCAAGGCGCUUGAGAGAACUCGGGUGAAGGAACUAGGCAAAAUGGUGCCGUAACUUCGGGAGAAGGCACGCUGACACGUAGGUGAAGUGAUUUACUCAUGGAGCUGAAGUCAGUCGAAGAUACCAGCUGGCUGCAACUGUUUAUUAAAAACACAGCACUGUGCAAACACGAAAGUGGACGUAUACGGUGUGACGCCUGCCCGGUGCCGGAAGGUUAAUUGAUGGGGUCAGCGCAAGCGAAGCUCCUGAUCGAAGCCCCGGUAAACGGCGGCCGUAACUAUAACGGUCCUAAGGUAGCGAAAUUCCUUGUCGGGUAAGUUCCGACCUGCACGAAUGGCGUAAUGAUGGCCAGGCUGUCUCCACCCGAGACUCAGUGAAAUUGAACUCGCUGUGAAGAUGCAGUGUACCCGCGGCAAGACGGAAAGACCCCGUGAACCUUUACUAUAGCUUGACACUGAACAUUGAGCCUUGAUGUGUAGGAUAGGUGGGAGGCUUUGAAGCGUGGACGCCAGUCUGCAUGGAGCCGACCUUGAAAUACCACCCUUUAAUGUUUGAUGUUCUAACGUGGACCCGUAAUCCGGGUUGCGGACAGUGUCUGGUGGGUAGUUUGACUGGGGCGGUCUCCUCCUAAAGAGUAACGGAGGAGCACGAAGGUUGGCUAAUCCUGGUCGGACAUCAGGAGGUUAGUGCAAUGGCAUAAGCCAGCUUGACUGCGAGCGUGACGGCGCGAGCAGGUGCGAAAGCAGGUCAUAGUGAUCCGGUGGUUCUGAAUGGAAGGGCCAUCGCUCAACGGAUAAAAGGUACUCCGGGGAUAACAGGCUGAUACCGCCCAAGAGUUCAUAUCGACGGCGGUGUUUGGCACCUCGAUGUCGGCUCAUCACAUCCUGGGGCUGAAGUAGGUCCCAAGGGUAUGGCUGUUCGCCAUUUAAAGUGGUACGCGAGCUGGGUUUAGAACGUCGUGAGACAGUUCGGUCCCUAUCUGCCGUGGGCGCUGGAGAACUGAGGGGGGCUGCUCCUAGUACGAGAGGACCGGAGUGGACGCAUCACUGGUGUUCGGGUUGUCAUGCCAAUGGCACUGCCCGGUAGCUAAAUGCGGAAGAGAUAAGUGCUGAAAGCAUCUAAGCACGAAACUUGCCCCGAGAUGAGUUCUCCCUGAGACUUAGAGUCUCCUGAAGGAACGUUGAAGACGACGACGUUGAUAGGCCGGGUGUGUAAGCGCAGCGAUGCGUUGAGCUAACCGGUACUAAUGAACCGUGAGGCUUAACCUUACAACGCCGAAG
RNAcentral lists this ribosomal RNA (1707 nucleotides) under Salmonella enterica subsp. enterica serovar Tees. Its description in RNAcentral is "bacterial LSU rRNA". It matches the Rfam family "Bacterial large subunit ribosomal RNA", at positions 1252 to 2925 of the family's 2925-position model. The record is from RNAcentral. Lineage: Bacteria; Pseudomonadati; Pseudomonadota; Gammaproteobacteria; Enterobacterales; Enterobacteriaceae.